AAACUCACCUGGCAGGGGAGUGAACCAGGAGCACAAACGUGGUUUUCCCAAGGCAAAGUUCAUCCACAGGACUCCAGAGAGGCUAACCCUGUUGUUUUCCAAACACAGGAGAAGCAACUGCAUGACUUCCAGUAGUUGGGGCUCACUCAUACGAUUUCCUAA
Non-coding RNA from Arvicanthis niloticus (Nile rat), 162 nucleotides. NCBI's taxonomy places the organism in Eukaryota, Metazoa, Chordata, Mammalia, Rodentia, Muridae. The record is from RefSeq and is a predicted model, not a curated record.